CACAGAAAUGAGAAGGUUUUCAUUGGGAAGGAAGACCUCUGGAUUCAGUCACAUUUGAAGACUGCCAUGGAAGCUGAAGGGCUAGAUGGAGAGACCUGUUUAAUUUACUUCAUCUUAAGCAUUUUUUCUGUAUACCCAGAGAGUGAGAAAUUAUCCAGGAAAUGAUCGCUUUACAGAUGUACAACUGUUACUAAAAACCAUGAUGCAUUGUGUGUGUAUACUGUAUUGUACACUGAAUAUACUGUGAUUAAUGUGAAGUGUAACAUUGUGUAAACUGAAAAGAUGUCAUCUGUAAAAGCUGUCUUGAUGAUCUAUUUAAAGUGAAAAUGCUUGCAUAACAUCAUAGGUUGAAGAGUCGUCACGCCAAAAUGACAAGCAGGAAAAACUUGAUUCACACACCCUGUCAGAGAAUUUAUUUUUUCGAGUCCGCCCUGGGCGUGUGCCGUACCAGCCCUGUUAACCUCAUGAAAAACAGGUACAUUUGAAUGCAAACUCAUUUGAAAGGACUUUUAUAACACAAGUGAAUAGAAGCUCCCAGCGUACAAACAAGAUUGUGCGAGAAGAAGGAUUGUCGUUUGCGUCCUCUGUUCUCUUUUACAGUACGUGACAGAACUGUGAUUGAGGAUUUUAAUUUCUUCUCAUUCAAUUUCAUGAAGACAAAACUGUGAAGGACUGAGGAAAAGAAGGUUGAACGCAACAAGGAGAAGUCUGAGGGCACUCUGACAGAAAAGGUCUGAUCUGAAGACUGGGCCAUGGAGGAGGAUUACAGGAAACAGUUGCCGGACUAUCCUGAUAUUAUUACACAGCAGCACACCAGCAACACCCACCAGAGCUACUCGGCUGAUAAGAAGCAGGGAGGAGGUGGCUGCAUGCGAUGCUGCGGGAGUACCAAGAGAUGUCUGAUGAGUGCUGAGUGCGGCCGGUGUCUUAACAUCGCCAGCGUUGUUGCCAUGUGCGGCAUGUGUAUCCGAAUGUUCGUGUAACACAGUUUCCCGCAGACCAUCUCCGCCGUGGAUGAGAAAGAGACCAAGACAUUAUUUAGCUCUGUUCAAGGCAGUGAACUGCCUGCUUAAACAACAUUUAUGUAUAUUCUCACAAACAAGUCAGGCCUAAGCAGAUGUUCACAGAAAAUGUAAUCCCAGAAUGCAUUACGAGGUACUAUAUGUGACCCUAGACAACAAAACCUUAAGGGUCCAUUUUUCAAAAUUGAGAUGUUAUCAUAAUCUGAAAACCGAAAAAAAACGUACUGCAUUGAUGUAUGGUUUUAACGAUCAGAAAAUAUUUUGCAGAGAUACAACUAUUUAAAAAUAUUCGUUUUCUGUAAUUUGACGGAUACUUCGAAAAUAUAUGUAACCCAUGUCAAAGAAAUUCCAUACAAUUACAGUCUUUUACAUAAUACGUGAAAAAUCUGUAAAAAUGACGGUAACUUUCUGUAAAAUGAAAUUGUAAAAAAAUGACAGUACACAAGGCUUUUGUCAUGACCGUAUACCCGUACAAUGUAGAUAAAUUUCCCUUAUUGUCUUCGUUAAUACUUCAGGAAGAAAACAGUGUUUACUAUUUAUAUUGAUAAUUGUUUUUGGUGGUUGUUGUUAAAAUAAACUUUGAAUUGAAUUAAAUGACUCUAAA
Molecule: long non-coding RNA, 1626 nt
Organism: Triplophysa dalaica
Lineage: Eukaryota; Metazoa; Chordata; Actinopteri; Cypriniformes; Nemacheilidae
Exons: 4
Source: RefSeq, a predicted model, not a curated record